GUGGGCGAGACUGAAAGAAACAAGUAUUUCUGGAAAAACCUAAAGAGAAAGCAAAACCCCAAACAGAAGAGAACAAGAAACCGCAGACACAUUUUGGUUUAGUCAAAUAUACAGAAAAUGGACGCCACUAAAAAUGCGAUAAGUGAUAUACUUGAGCACCUUUUGAGUGCAGAGUUCAAGAAGUUCGUCUGGCACCUGUGGAACGGUGUGGCAGGAGACAUCGAGCCGAUUCCUCGAGCGGCUCUGGAGAACGCUGAUCGUCAGGAUGUGGCGGAUCGCAUGGUGCAGAAGUACACCACUAACGCCGGGACUGUUGCAGUACAAGUGCUGUUCAACAUCAACCAGAAUGAUCUCGCAAAGCGCCUUGAAGUGAAACUUCAGAAAGCAAAUUCUACUUAAUAAGGAAGAAUUCAGCAGCAACCUUGAUCACCGGAGACGGUCCUUCUGUACAGUCGCAUCUACCUUAACCCAUUUAAUCCCACCGGUCACAAUAGUGACCGUAUAAAAGCUUUUAAUUUUCAUUUAUAAAGCUCUAAAAACCCUACUGACCAAUGUUUUAGUGCACUUCCUGCAAAUAUGGAAAAAAAUAAAGGGUCUCAAUUAAAUAUGUGCAGUUUCACAUGAUUAGUGCAGAUUGUCACAUGACCAGAGCAGUUUAUUUCCUGUUUGCACCUUGAGAAGAUGAAGACUGCAUCAAAGCUCCAAAACGAAUGGCUAGUAAAGUAUGUUAACAUAAAGAUAUGACAAAGAUUUUUGGUACACAUUAUAUUUAAGGUGUCUAGUAUUAAUAUAUGAAUUCACAUAUAUUUAGUUUUGUUGAGUGUGGUCAUAGAAUGAGUAAACACGUUGACGGUCACAAUAGUGACCGGUGGGAUAACAAUUAAUUUAGGUUUACAAUAUAAUCUGAUUGCAGUUGCUGGUGAAAAUUACAUGAAAAUGUUGCAAUUACAAAAUAUUACACUAAAUUAAAAGUUCAAAUGCAACAAAUAAAUUAAAAUAGUGAUGUUGUAAUACUGGUAGUACUAAAACAAAAAUUUGAUGACAUAUUUUACAAAAAAAAGUAACAAAUCUGAAAUGCGGUGAUGGUUGUAUUUUUUGUCUUUUAUCUCAGUGUUCCUAUUAAUGUUGCAUACAUUUUUUUUUUAUGCAUAAUAGCAACCCUAGAAUGUGGUCAAACAGUUUAAAAUAGCUGGGCUAAGAUAUAUAACUAUUUUUAUGACUGCAGAAAUAUGUUAAUUCAGUACACACGUUAUCCCACAAUUGUGACCGACCAUAAAAAAAUGUCAAAAAAUAAUUAUUGAUUAUUUCAAAGGGUUACUAAUGACACAUAAUUUAGAUAUGUUAAUGUCUGGGGAAAAAAAUGGGAUUAAAUGGGUUAAUGAUUAUUUAAAGUAUUUCAUUUAACUUGUUAUGCUGGCAGUGACCAGGGAUUUUGGGGAUUGAUAAAUAUGGAAUAUAUUUGGAGUGUGUGGUUGAGAUUUCACUGCUGUUCUUUUGUGAGUGAUAUUACGGGUUACACAUUUUUUAAGAUUGUAUUGUUAUCUGUAAUGUAGGUAUUAAUCGUCUUUCUGAGCAAAUCAGAAUGAUUGAAGGGUUUGUUUUUCAGUUUUAUAUUAAAUUUGUCAUGUUAAUAAAAUAAUCACAUCAUGUCUGUGUUACUACAGUACAUGACAAAAAUAAUAUAUUUGAACAAGAGCAGUGGUGAAACAGCCAUUCUCUCAUCUAAUAAAUGUGAUGUUGUUUCUAGCUGCAUUGUGUCUGUAUUGGUGGCUGUCGUGUGUAAGUGAUGUUUGGUUUAUUUGCACCCUCAUUUUAUUUUCCAUCGCAAUUAAGUUCAGCAUUAUCUGGAUUGUCUUGUAACAGCUCACACAGUUUGUCUGUUUUGUCUAAAUUGUCUUAAUCUGCACAACACAUCCAUUUCGAGCUAUUUGUUAUGAAUGUACUACCAUUCCAAAGCCACUCCCCUUCACACUAAAAAAAACCGGAUUGACAAAAACGGGCUUCUGAGGAAGGCUUUAUUUCUUAACAGAAAGCAAACCUUUAAACAAAGUAACAAGGAAGUGCAGACUACACAAAAACUGUCUUCAAACAGAAUCGACAUGUUUCUAUAGCACUUUAUACAGAUUGCUAAAAACAGCUUUACAGAAAAAAAUAAAAAUAAGAAAAAAAAACAGUAGCAAAGUUCUUUGAGUGUUUUUAAUUAUAACUUAGAUUUCAAUUAUAAAGUACCACUAAAGGAGAUAAUAUAGCGGCAUUCAUUUAAAUUAUUCAUGCAACUUAUUUGAAAAAAAGGAAUGUAGCUAUAUUUAGUGUAUGUUUCUGAGCCGGCCAGGCAAUAACUACUUUUAAUGUAAUAAUUUACUGCAUGUUCAAUCUCAUGCAAGAGCUCAAGGCGCUGAAAAUGAAAAAAAAAAAAAAAGACAUGAAAAUAGAAAAAUCACAUGCAAAUUUAAGAAAACAUCUUCAUCAAUUUGACAACACACAUGCUGCAAAUACACACAACGCGACAAUAUACAGAAACACACUGCAAAUACUUGCAACACAACCAAAUACAGAAACGCGCUGCAAAUACACACAGACCAGAUCAAAACAUGUUUAUGGAAACAAAGUGAAGAACAUGCUGGUACAUGCUAAUGUCUACUCUGAAAGGUGAGAUUUUUGUUUAUUUUAACAUCCUGGGCUACGUUUCCCAAAAACAUAAUAAGUAGAUCAUAGACCCAUUGUCACCAAUGGAGCUACGAUCAGCUUAGACUUACGAUGCUUUUGGGAAACGCAGUCCUGAUCAUAAGAUUCCUUUUUCUUUUUCUUUUUUUUUUUUUGACAUUCUAAAUAAGCUAAUGAAAUACCUACACAAUUACUGUAACUAUGAAAGGUUAUGUAAGCUGGCUAACUUACUUCCCUUACAAAAAUGACAACUUCCCUUACAAAAAUUAACCAUGGCUUUGCUAUUAAAAUAAAUAAAUAAUAUAUAUAUAUAUAUAUAUAUAUAUAUAAAAAUACUGCUUUCACUACACUAACCAUAGUUUAAUCAUGAUAUUUAUACAACUGUGGA
Onychostoma macrolepis is the source of this 3052-nucleotide long non-coding RNA. RefSeq lists it as uncharacterized. The record is from RefSeq and is a predicted model, not a curated record. NCBI's taxonomy places the organism in Eukaryota, Metazoa, Chordata, Actinopteri, Cypriniformes, Cyprinidae. The transcript is spliced from 3 exons.